This is a small nucleolar RNA of Tachyglossus aculeatus (Australian echidna), 138 nucleotides long. NCBI's taxonomy places the organism in Eukaryota, Metazoa, Chordata, Mammalia, Monotremata, Tachyglossidae. The record is from RefSeq and is a predicted model, not a curated record.
ACCCUCUCGGGAUCGUGCCUGGAGAGUUCCUAGUACUCUACCAGUCUUGGCUACGAGAGGGAGAGUCAAGCGAAGGCAUACUCAUUCCAUUCCUAGCUUGGGCAGUAGCUAGCGAGUGGAAGGCAAGCUGCUACAUGU